CUAAACAAAUGAAAGAUGUACACUGCAUUGUAGUCCCAUAAGGCAUUAGGGGUUGGCCGAGCCACCAAAAUGGACCCAAGGUCUUUCCCGAUUUGCUUAGUCAUAUCAUGAACAAAGGCAACUUCUGCAUGCAAAUAUUUCUAUGCGGUAAUCCUUGACCGACCUUUUGCUAUUCUUCGAGCAAUGACUUUCCUUCCACCCUUGGUUGCCUUGCGUGCAAAGAAACCAUGAUUUCUCUUACGCCU
RNAcentral lists this unclassified non-coding RNA (245 nucleotides) under Hevea brasiliensis (rubber tree). The record is from RNAcentral. Lineage: Eukaryota; Viridiplantae; Streptophyta; Magnoliopsida; Malpighiales; Euphorbiaceae.